Paramisgurnus dabryanus is the source of this 491-nucleotide non-coding RNA. The record is from RefSeq and is a predicted model, not a curated record. NCBI's taxonomy places the organism in Eukaryota, Metazoa, Chordata, Actinopteri, Cypriniformes, Cobitidae.
GUUGGAAACCCAGAGGGUUGUCAGAAGAGGACACGACUUCUGCAGGACCGCUGAACUUGCUGGUGUAUUAUGUCAGCAAUGCACUGGGAGGCCAGACGCCGCCAGCAAGUGCUGGAUCGCAGAUUAUCUGCAAAAGUCAAGCAGGCAGAGAUGAAAGGAAAAAAUGAAGAGCAGUCACACACACACAAUCCACCUACAGGAUCCAGUAACACUCGGGAGGUUGACAAGAAAUGCAUUUGUAAGUGUCAGCCUUCUGACGAGGAAACAUAUAUCAAGAAUAACAAAAAAUACUCGUCCCUACAGUACUCCCAGCAAUGGUGAAGAUGGGGGCCAGACCAAUGGGCAGAACCAACGCCACAGAUAAAGAUCUGUAUUUUAAUAAUAAAAAACUUCUGUAUUAAUCUUUGCAAUUCAAAUAAAAUUGGUUUCUCGAAAGGCUCUGAUUGGAUCUUGUACAGUACCUUACAAGUUUAAAACACAAAUAAUUAAAU